CCGGUGUUGCGCUGGUGAAGGCUAUCCAGAAGAGCUACUACACCAAGUACGGCGGCGGUGCCAACUCACUUAGCGAUGGGUACAGCAUCGGAGUUGGAUUGGCUGCUGAGAUUAUUGGCACCUUUGUGCUCGUUUACACCGUUUUCUCUGCCACUGACCCCAAGAGGAGUGCUAGAGACUCCCAUGUUCCGGUACAUCUACACCUUUCAUCUAUAAUUUGCAAUUACCAUUUCCUUGUACUAAUCUUUAUAUUAUAUGCAUCUAAUGGCUUUGUUUGUCUCUCGUAUUGGUGGCUUUCAUACAUGGGAGUUUUUUUUUAACCAGAAUGGUUAUUCAAUACUCUAGUUUCUGAUAUAAACGUUGCGAUUCGAGUUUAAUAAUACUUAUUUUUUGAAAAAAAAAAAACAAGGGAGCUGAGAAAAUUAGAGAAAAUCUAGUGUCUUCAGAAAUUUUGAAUAAGAAUCCACCAGCAUGUCUCUUUGGGAUUCUAAUCUUUGUUUGCUUUUAUUUUUCUUGAAACCAUUUUAAUUUAGGAAACUUUUUUAUUUGAAUUCAUCACAUGUUUAUUAUUAUUAUUUUUUAAAUUUAAAUACUUUCUGAAAAUGCAUUAUUUAAUCACAUGUCCUAGUUUUUGAAAAUUUUGACUCCUUCUCAAAAUGCAUUAUUUUUUGAACGAGCUAGUAAAUGCAUUAAUUUAUAUAUAUAUAUAUAUAUAUAUAUAUAUAUAUAUAUAUAUUGUAAACCAUCAUUUAACCUUUGGACAAGUUUAGGUGUCCCACACACUACUGCUAAUUCUUUAGGGGGCGUUUUUGUUUGCCCUCACUAAGUGGGACUGGACUGGACUAUCUGUUAGUCCAAUACUGUGUUUGUUUCAUGCUGGGACUAACAUUAAUGAGACUAAAGGGGACUAGCAUGGACAAAACUCUUCACUAAGAGGUCUUAGCGAGACCCCCCAAUAACCAUGGGACUAGCUAAGACUAUCCUCUCUCGUCCUCGUCAUGCUCAACAAUCACUCCCGAUAGACUCCUCGUCAUCUCCGGUCACCGAGAUUAUAAUAAAAUAUUAAUAAUUUAUAUAUUAAAUAAUAUAAUAUUAAAAUUUGUUAUUAUCCGCUUCUUAGUCCAACACUGCACCAAACACUUCACUAAGUUAGUCCAGCUUAGUCUAGUCUAAGCCAGUCCAGCUUAGUCCUUGAAGCUAGUCCAGUCCGAGAUAGUCCGGCGCAACAAACGCCCCCUUAGGGUUUUGUUGUACAUAUGUUCAUCACAUAUAGAUGUUCUUAAAAGGAUCAUAUUCUUGUGUUUUUUGGUGUUUAUAUCGUGCUUAUAUCCAAAAUGAGAUCUCGGAACCAAGUAUUAGAGGCAAAAUCUUGAGUUUACUGUUCCUUUGGGAUAGUGCAAUGGCUAUAUAGCACAAUCUCGUCAAAUAUUAGAUGUUGCCCUUGAAAUUGUUAGAACCAAAAACUCUUUUCAAGUCUCAUGGCAAAAGAUACGUUGUUGAGAAUUGCAUUUCGCAAGUGGUGGAUUGCCUUGGUGAAUUAGGGUCUCUCUCUUCAACUCGCUGCAUCUCGAUUCAAACCCUUUCCCUCUCAUUGGCCUAGCAUAAAGAAAUAGCAUUUCCCUUAUGAGUAGGGUGAAAAGAAUGAGCUGGGCCAACUGUUUUUUUCUGGUUAGCAUUUCAGGGUAUCAUGCAAUGCAAUAGAUGCGGAAGUCACCUAAUUUUGUUUGCUUUCAACAAGUUGCUUCAACUUUUUCAAUUAUUUUCUCCCAACUUUUCACCUUUCCAUCAUUCCUAACGUGCCAUGCCUUCUUCUAGUAUCGUCAUGAAUCAUGACUCACUCGAGGUCUCAACGUCAAUCUGUGGGUGCUUCACAUAAACCUCGUUUAACAACCUCAAAACCACUAGUUUAGUUAUUGUUUAAUAUUAAAAAGUUGAUUAACGUCUGAUUUGUUUCUGGUGUUAAACAGUUCCAAACAUUUGAUAUGCUGAGUCAGAAAUGAAUGAAAGUUGUCUAAUUUUGUUUUUAUUUAGCUUCACAAUCACGGGGCAUGUCUUUUCUAUGUACCGUUUUAGUCCAUUUUCCAACUCUUCCAUCCUGUUCCAAACUGUCCUGUUGUCUACAUUUUUUGUAUGUUUUCCACUUGUAUAUAUUCCGAUGGAGAUUCUUAGUUAUCUCCGGUUGUAUAUCUUCUCGUGUCUUAUCUCUAAUGUCACGUGUCUGAGAGAGACAGGAAAGAAUACAACCGGAUACAUGGUGGAUUCUCUCGUAUUCUAGCUGGCUAAAUUGUGGACUGUUGUGAAUUUUGAAGGUUUUGGCUCCACUGCCAAUCGGGUUUGCUGUGUUCAUUGUUCAUUUGGCCACCAUCCCAAUCACUGGCACUGGCAUCAACCCUGCUAGAAGUCUUGGACCUGCUGUUAUCUUCAACCAAGACAAGGCUUGGGAUGACCAAGUAUGUAUUCCAAUAUUAAUUAUUCAUCACUUUUAUAUUAUUAUUAUUAUUAUUAUUUAAUUUUAUAUAACGUAAGAUAUUCCGGAGCUCCUCAGAAUUUUCGCUAAUAUAUGUUCUUGUCUACUCUCUUGUUGGUUGCAGUGGAUUUUCUGGGUUGGACCCUUCAUCGGAGCAGCAAUUGCAGCCUUCUACCACCAAUUUAUCUUGAGAGCAGGAGCUGCCAAGGCCCUUGGAUCAUUCAGGAGCCACCCGAGUGUUUGAAUUGAAAUAUUUUCUGAGAAUGUGAUGGGAUUUGGAAAACAAUGUUAAUUAUUAUGAAGGGUAAUAUUUAUAUUUAAUUGUGCUUAACUUAUGCUUUGUGUAUGAAGGUUUCAUUUGGUCAUCUCUCAAUUAAAUUUCCAUCAGAAAAAGGGGCUGAGAGGCCAUGAAUUUGUAGAUAUUGUCACGUACUUGCCUUUGAAUUUACUUCAAUGUCAUUGCCAUUUUCUCAAGAUUUUCUCCUUGUUUUCUGCUUUCUACUCAUAUCAUGCUUGAAGACAAGUGCUUUUAUAAUUUUGGGGUCACUUUUGCUUGCUAUAUGAUGGCUAAGUGAGAUCCACUUGAAGCUUAGUGGGUUGGGCACUGUAAAAAGCAGAAGGUGAAUGAAUACUAGUUUUGCAUCUAGAAACCAAAGGCAAAUAAGGGUGGAAACAUGGGGAGUUUGGCACAACUCCGCUUUAAGCACUUGUAAGGUUUGUUUAACUUUUCGCUCUGAAAUAACUUAAGACCUUAUCUGUAGCGAAACAUGAAGCUUAAUAUGGACGAAUAAUCCAAAUGCAUAUGUUGUUAAAAGGAAUUGUAUCCAGUUGCCUUAUUUCUUCGAUGAGGAAUUAAGCGGUGUGGAGCAUACGUGAAAUGUUGGUUUUACACGUGGCAAAUUUGCUCUGUUACUAUAAAAGAAGAUAAAAUUACAGUCUCAUGCCAAUAAUAUCAAUGACUCAGAUGUUUAUAAGUUUUCUAAACUUUUUUCGAUGUAAGAUAUUUCUUCAAAUCCUCAACCACUCCCGUUUAGAGAUAUUCAUAAUCUUGCAAAUCUUGGGAUGCUUGAUUUGGUUGAUCAAGUCAUGGAGUCUGCUAUAUUUGUCCGUUGGCGCAACACACCAUACAACUCGUUGCCUUCGCUUUCCUUCUACACUAUACUACAAUCCACUAUCUCACCCUUUUCCCAAGAUUCCCAACAACAAAAUCUAAUCUCUCCCAACACACACCACAUAAUAUAUAUAUAUAUAUAUAUAUAUAUAUAUAUAUAUAUAUAACAUGUUAUAUAUAUUAUAUAUAUAUGUAUGUAUGUAUGUAUGUAUAUAGCUGUUAGUGUGACAUACGCGAAUUUUUGUACCUCAUGAAACCUCAAAUCCAUGAAUGUGGACGUCUUGUCUUCCAAUAUCUAUAUGGCUGUAAGGAAACCUUUGAAGGGAAGAAAUCUCCAAUUUUUAUAAAAAUGGAAAUUAGUUGUGGAGUCCCUAUCACACCGAAUUUUAACAAGCUGAUCGUCUAUUUUUCAAGUUGCACCUCAUAAAUUAUCUUUGCAAAAUAUUAACCAAAUUGAAAAUAUUUGAGGCGUCUAAUUAAGUACAAAGAAAUUGACUAAUACUUUCUUUUCUAAGAAACAUUGAAAUUUCAUCGUGGUAAUUAAAUUAGCAAAUGAUCUCAGAUUAAAUUGAAUUUCUGAAAGGAUGAUCUAUGAAUCGAGACUUACAAAAUAGACAAUUCGGAUCAUUGAAGUUCGAUGUAGAGUGAGCCUUACAAUUAGUCCCCAUUUACCAAAAAUGGGGAUCUUUUGGAUAAAGGGCCUGGUGUCUGUAAUAUUAUAUUUAACUUAAUUUUUGGGUUUUUUUUUCAUUUUUUUAAUUGUUCUUGUAAAUUUAAUUAAGGUUAAGAUGUAGAUGCAAGGAUCGGUAAUAGUGAGAUUCUCGUAUUUUACCUUCAGGCCUAAGGGGCAAUGUUCAAUCCUCUGCCAUCCUAAAAAACAGGAAGUUUAAUAGCUGAGAAUAAUGUUAAACCGUAAGAUCGAUCUUACUGAAAAUAAAAUUUCAAACGCGACACGUUACAUUGAAGCUCAAAACACGACUGAUAUGGAUCAUGGCUCUUGUGGCUUAUAUCUUGUUUCUUGUUGUUGAACCCAACAAGUUGAAGAUGGCCCUAAUUGCUCGUAGACAGUUUUACCAGAUCAAGUGAGGUUAGCCAUGUAGCUCUUCAAAAUACUAUCUUACCCUCACCCACUUUGAGUUUGAAUUGCCACUGGGUCUCUUGAGAGUUGAGACUAGCUGCUGGAUUCCAGGAGUUCCACCCCAAAGGGCCGAAAGAGUGACAUAAACAUAAGAAAUAUCCUUACUCUUGCCAUUUUAAACAUAUCAUAAACAUAUUACUUCACACUGUUUGCAUGUGGAGAAUAUUUUGAAUUGAACGUAACAUUGCCAGGUAAUAUUAUGUAAUAGGUGGAUUGAUAACAUCAUUUCACAUUAGCAACCACAUUAAAGUUAAGGGAACUUUAACAAAAAACAUCCGGUGCUGUUCACUUUAAUGAAAAACCAUAUUUUUACACUAAAAAGUCAAUCCUGGUACUAUUCACUUUACCCUUUAUUUUGUCCUUAUCAUUAAAACUCAAAGUUUUCAAGCCCUUUUGUGAGAGUGGCAUGAUCACCAAGCUGCUGUAUUGAAUACUCUCUUCCACGAUUAAAACUCUCACACAUCAUGUUUAAUAGUUGUUGCUCUCUAUCUCUCUCACGCAUUAAUAGAAUAUAUAACUGUACUUUACACAGUAAGGUCUGGAAGUCAAUUGCAAAAUGAGUCACGAGGUUUUAACUUUUGUAUUUCACACCACGUGGUUUUUGAAUUGCACAAAUUUAACCUCUUUGUCAAUUUCACCUUCUAAGUGGACGUUGAUGCAACAUAGACUAGACUCACAUUUUAAGCACCCGUUGACCUUCAAUUUCAAUGUUUAGUCAUACUCUUUUACUCUUUUAAUUCUUUUAUGAACGUGUGCUUAAAAUGCAAGCCCAAUAUAUGCCACAUCAGCAAUUAACAUCUAAUUUAAUAGUAGAAUAGAAAGAGAGGUUAGUUGGUACAAUUCAGAAAUUAGGUGGUGUAAAAUGCACAAAAUUAAAAUAUCGUGGCUCAUUUUGCAAUCGACACCAAAACUUGUGGGGGUAAACUGCAGUUAACUCGAGAUAAAAAUGUUCACAUUGAUGUAAUUAACUGAGGGAGACCUAUCUGAAAAGCAAAUAAGCAAAGCAAACAGUGCUGUGGUGUGCACGCUUCUAUGAUUGCCUGUGGUAGCACGGCAAGCAAAUGCAAUACUUCAAAGUCAAGCAACCACCGCACUUGCAAUUCUAUAUAGCAAACACUGCCUGCCACUUCCUUUUCAGACUUCAACUGCAAAAAAUUACCAACAAAUUAAUCAAAUUUUCUUAUGGCACCCAUCACCAACCUCGUCUGCUUCCUUUUCACUCACUUUGGUUUUCUCUGGACACCCACGUUGCUCCACAACUUCAGGUAUGAAAACCUCAUUGAGCUUGAGCGAUAUACAUUCCAAAGUUACAGGUACGAAAAUCCCCUCGGUCCCUCUCACUUGGGUUUUGGUUUUUCACACCCUGAACUUGCAACCCUUAUCUAAUCUCAUCGUCUGCAGCUACCAGCAUUUAAUUGUUGUUCAAACUUAAUCAAGACAUAUAUGUGUGUGUUCAUAUGUAUACAUGCUCAAAGAAUCAAAGUUCCACAUGACCGGCUGUGUUUGAUCGCCGUCGAUGAAGUGAUCAUGAAGGCCGUUCAUCGGUUUUGGAGCUGCAGAUAGUGUUGUGAUCGUAGCAAAACAUCACUGUAAAUAUACUGUUAUGAUCAAGAUAAAUAAUUGUACACAACGUGGCAUUCAUUUCUGUUGUCAUAUGGUGCAUUGCAAUGUAGUUUUUAACUUUGUUUUUGUGGGUCUUAUUAUUUGCUUUAAUUGGGAUUGAUAUUAAAUGUAACAACUUUUUAUUUAGUACGAUAUUCUACACUAAUCGCUAGGAAGAGAAAGAGUUUAAAUCCGAAAUACAAUGAGUUGAAGAUAAAAACUUUAACUGCUGGAGCAAUACCCGCUGGUUCUAAAUGUAACAAGUUUGAGUGUAUUGACUAUUAUGCUUUAAGUAAAAGGGGUAGUUAACUUGCCUUUGAGGAAAAGCAAUUAAAGAGCUAAUCACUACACUUUACCAUCUCUAGUUAGGCCACCAAACGAGGGUAACACGUGCAUUUAUCUGACGGACCAAGUCUUUCCACGUCACUGUCAAUUCUACUUCAUCAUCAUACUCCAAGUCUCGAAUCAGGAUCCUCUUCGGAUCCUCUCUGUGAGGAUUCUGAAGAUUCUCAAAUCGUAUCCAUUUAUCGUACAUCGUUUGAUCAGAAAUUAUUUUAAAUAUUUUUAUUUAAAAUUCAAUAUGGCUAGUACUUGACGAAAAAUGAUCACACAAUUUACAAUAAAUGGAUAUGAUUUGAUGAUCCAUAGGAUCCUCAUUCCCAAGUCUCAUUCACUCGAUGAUCCAAACCCAUUACUUAGCACCGUUGUCCAUCUCCAAGCCUUCCUUACAUCCCAUGCCCAAUAAAACCACACAUGACCAUUCCCCAAUCCACAGAAUGGGGACGCCCAUUCACUCAGAGAGAUUUUUCAGUGUGACCAUCACACGAGGUAGUAUAUCACGUAUUCUUAUAAAAAUGGUGAGUUAUAUAUGUUAAAAGGUUAAUAACUUAAAAAUUAAAAAAUUUCACCACUUGCAUAAAAACACAUGGUGUACCAUCUGUGUUUCCGUCACAACUAAAAAUUUCUCCAUCCACUCGAUGCAAUAGGCCACAUUUCAUUACAGGAUAGUGUUAUUCACACACUCGUUUUUAUUUUUCACACAUGUUCUUAAUUUUUAGUUAUUGGAUCGAAUAACUCGAAGAAGACUAAUGACAAAAAAAUUAACAAGGGUGUGUAGGGUAAAAAUAAGUGUGUGAAUAACAUUAACCUUCGUUACAUAAAGUAUCUAGACACUUGCUUUUAGUCCUGAAGGGAAUUUUCUCGUCUCAAUGAUAAAUUAUUGCAUGAAGUUGAAACACUGUCAAAAGCUAUAAUUAUUACUUUUUUACAUGUAAAUAAAAAUUGAUACCAAUAUCAUACCAAAAGCAUAAACUCGUUGUCUAUUCAUAUCAUAACACGUAAAUUAUUUAUUACAUGAGUGUAUUUUUGUACUAUACAAUAAAAUUUUCAUUUCAAUUUAGACAUAAUCACAAAUAUUUUUUUAUUUUUUUAUUUUUUUUAACUCAUGGGCAUAUCCUAUUCUUAUUUAGGAGGAAGGAAAUUUGAACUCGGUAACAAGGUUGGUUAAGUGAUAAUUAAUUAAAAUAUAAAGAUCUUGAAAAAAACUCAACAAUAGCAUUUUCCCCAAAAAUUAUGAGCUAUCUUUCCGUUUUUAUUUGUUUUACUAAGUUCUUUGAAAAACUAUAUAAACUAUAUGGGUAAAUUACAUAGUAACCCUUCAUGUUUGAGAUCUAUUACAAUCUCAUACAACAUCUUUAAAACAUUUCACUUUCAUACUUCAAGUACUAUUUUAUUUCAAUAUAAUACAUCUGUUAUAUUUUCCAUCCAUUAAUCCGUUAAAUGCUGAUGUAGCUGCCACAUUUGUGCCACGUGACUGCCAAAUAUGUGCCACGUAGCCAAAAAAAUAAUUUUUAAUUUUUUGUUAAAACCUAAAUCUUCUAAAGAAAUUUAUUAAAAAACCAAAAACCAUGUGGCAGCCACGUCAGCAUUUAACGGAUUAAUGGAUGAAAAAUCUAACGGAUGUAUUAUAUUGAAAUAAAAUAGUACUUGAUGUAUAAAAGUGAAAUGUUUUAAAGAUGUUGUAUGAGGUUGUAAUAGACUUCAAACCUGAUGGGUUACUAUGUAAUUUACCCAAAACUGUAUUUUCUUGGCGUUUUUGUCACAUCACGUGCUUCAUAAAAUUCAUAACUCUGAUUUGAGCCCUAAUAGUAUUUUUCUUGAAUUUUCAAAUUUUCAACCUAAAGUUUCAAUAAAAAUCCUUAUGGGGCUUGUAAAAUGGUUGGAUCACUUCUAAAUCAUUUGUAAUAUCUUUGCAUAAACUCAACAAUUGCCUCUUUUCACAAAAAUGUGAGCUAUAACUCUUGAUUUUUUGUCAGGUAUCGAUAACAAGUUCAUAGUUAUUUUCAUAAGUCGAACAUAAGACAUUUUACUUGUGAUAAAAGUAUCAGUAAGUUAUUAUCUAGUCAACAAGAUGAAGAAGGCCAACGACGUCGUUGGGGAAGAACUUAUCGGUUCUGCCAAUUAUCUGACUUUGCUCAGGGAGCCAAUUAUUACCCGUCCCUCUUCUUGUCGAAACAUACAGUCCCCUCCAUUUCCUCCGUCGUCGAAGAUCACCAGUGCACAAAAAGAGAGAGAGACAUGCAUCUAUGGCCGUCGGCGACGAUCAGAGACUCCUUCAAGCUCGAUUACCUGAGGAAGCUCGACUGGAACCUCCAGAGGAUGAAAAGCGAGAAGGAAUCACAAAAAUCAGUCAAGCAGAACCUGCUCGAUGGCCAAGACGGCGGAGCCGCCAAACAGUUGGAUAGCCCACGAGGCCAAGUCAACGGAAAAGCGGCGGACUUGACCAAUCCAAAGGCUCAUGGAAGAGAUAGAAUGGUCGCUGGACUCUGCGGAGAGACUCUGAUGCUUCUCUCUUGCUGCUUCUGCUGUGGAGGUAAACUUGAAUUUAUCUCAGCCCCUUUUGAUUUGACAUGAUAAAGUUUUGAAAUUUGUGUUGGAAUUGAAAUUUUACGAUUUGGGUUUUGUUUAUAUGAGCUUCUUUGGUUUUGUAUGUGGGGAAUUAGUGUUUAACUUGGGUGGAAAAUUGGGGUUGGAUUUGAAUUCUUUGAGGGAUGUUGUUGUAUAAUCGUUGCUUAGUGAGUUUAAUGUGGCUUUCUCUUAAUUAUGUGUGAGAAAGAAAACUUAUUGAUAGUGUAGAAUAUAUAUAUUUGGAAUUCGAGCAGUGUGCCUUUGGUUUGAUUGCUAGUUUGGACACAAGAUGAUGCUGGAAUCCUGUCAUGUCUUUUUUGUUUAUCGAUUAGUUUAAGCAUAAACUGAUUGAUAUCAAGGUCAGGUCAAUCUUUUAGUUAGAGGAUUCAAAGAUUCUACCUGCUUUUGUGAGCCUGUAAAAGGUGGGCGGGUGGUGGCUUGUUGCCUAAGAAUUGAUCAGCUUGACAAGGAUUCUUGUGACCAUCGUUUUAUGUAGAAUAUUUUUAGAGUACUUUGUUUGGAGAAGCUGGUAAAGGAGGUGACUGGAGGACUGAAUGAGAUAUCAUUGAUGAACACGGUAUCAGCAGAUUAGAUGCAAAUUACUUCAAAAGAUUCAACACGGAGUGCACGUGCUCUAGAUUAACAUGGGGACUUUUUUUUCGUAGAGGUUAACAGUUUUUGGUUUAACUAUCAGUAUUGUCUUGUUGAGCUGGGAAUAGUGGGAAUGCCUAAUUCCAGGGUCAUAAAGUGCUAAAUUGGGGGAGGAUAUCAGUGCGAGGUACAGCGUUGUCAUCCAUGAUCAUAUAUUCUCACAAACUUAUUGGCGUCCCUAUGGAUUUAUGCCCUAUAACAUGUCGACGUAUAUGUGAAGAAUGGAUACCUAAGAAGUCUCUAAUUUGAAUGGUCUAUGUGAUGGUAUAUUCUCGGUGCAGUUGGAAAACAAGGUGGCAUCCUUUUGCCUAAAUUUAUAGUCUGCGGUAAAUGAAAUGUGUGAUGGUAGUUAUGAAAGACUGUAAGGCCAUCUCUAACCGAAGGGUCCAGAGGGCCAGAGGGCCGAAAAUAGCCCUAAAACCGUCUCCAACCGAGGGCUAGGCCAGAGGGCUCUGGAAUCUGGGAGGGCCCCACGGGAUCGGAGAGGGUUGGAGGGCUGGAGGGCUGGCUACUUUCGGCCAGCCAGCCAGCCCCGGGCUGGCUAUUUUUUUUUUAAUGUUUUCCUAUUGCUGUCGGUUAUAACCGACAGCAUUAAAGAAGGAUUUUUUAAUAGUGUCGGUUAUAACCGACAGUAAUAGUUAUUCAAAGGCAAUUUAUUUUUUAAUUACUAUUAGUGUCGGUUAUAACCGACACUAAUAGUUUGAAUUUUUUUUAUUAUAACGGCUAGUAGCCGUUGUAUUAACAGUUUUUUUUAUAUGAAUUUAAACUUCUUUUUUUCCUUUUCAUAUGAAUCAAAUUUUGUUUCAUAUUUUUUUUCAAUUCUAUUUUACAAAAUUUGUUUCAAUUUUUUUUUUAAAUUCUAUUUUUUUUUUCUAUAACUUCUAUUUUACAAAAUUUGAUUCAUAUUUUUUUUUCCUAUAACUUCUAUUUCACAAAAUUUGUUUCAGUUUUUUUUAAAUUCUAUUUUUUCCCUAUAACUUCUAUUUUACAAAAUUUGAUUCAUAUUUUUUUUUUCAUAUAACUUCUAUUUUACAAAAUUUGUUUCAUAUUUUUUUAAAUUCCAUUUUUUCCCUAUAACUUCUAUUUCACAAAAUUUGUUUCAUAUUUUCUUUCAAUUCUAUUUUUUCCUAUAACUUUCUAGGCCAUUAUACAACAUUGAAUUAAAUUAAGUAACAUGAAACAACAUUAAACAAUAUGAAACAACAUUAAAUAACAUUAACCAACAUAAAAAUUAUACAACAUAAAAAAAACAUUUAACAACAUGAAACUUAAACAACAUUUUUAAAAACAUUUAAAAACAUAAAACGUAAACGCCUACUCGAAGCUUCACUUAGCCGUUGGAUUUGAAUUUAAAUUGUAGUUUCAAAAUAAUAAAUUAUGUUUGGCCCUAUGACCCUUUGGCCCUCGGUUGGAGAUGAUUUUUUGUGACAGUGCUAAAACGAGCCAUCUGGCCCUCUGGCCCUCGGUUGGAGACGGAGGCAAAUAUGACCAUGUACUGUUCAUUAAAAUAUUAAUAUCUUGAAGAAUCUUGGAGGGCCAGAGGGCUCAAACGAGCCCUCUAGCCAGCCAUCGGUUAGGCCAUCUCCAACCGAUGGCUGGCCAGAGGGCUCGUUUUAGCCCUGUCACAAAAAACCGUCUCCAACCGAGGGCCAAAGGGCUAUAGGGCCAAACAUAAUUUAUUAUUUAAAAACUACAAUUUAAUGUUGUAUAAAUGGCCUAGGAAGUUAUACGAAAAAAAUAGAAUUGAAACAAAUUUUGUGAAAUAGAAGUUAUAGGAAAAAAAAUAUGAAACAAAAUUUGAUUCAUAUGAAAAGGAAAAAAAGAAGUUUAAAUUCAUUAAAAAGGGAAAAAAAGAAGUUUAAAUUCAUUAAAAAAGAAAAAGAAAAAAGAGGCCUAAUAAUCCAACGGCUACUAGCCGUUAUAUUCAAAAGCAUUUCAAACUAUUAGUGUCGGUUAUAACCGACACUAAUAGUAGAACUAUUAAAAAAAAAAAAGAAUACCUUUAAUGCUGUCGGUUAUAACCGACAGCAAUAGGAAAUCAUUAAAAAAAAAAUAGCCAGCCUGGGGCUGGCUGGCUGGCCGAAAGCAGCCAGCCCUCCAGCCCUCUCCGAUCCCGUGGGGCCCUUCCAGAUUCCAGAGCCCUCUGGCCUAGCCCUCGGUUGGAGACGGUUUUAGGGCUAUUUUCGGCCCUCUGACCCUCUGGACCCUUUGGUUGGAGAUGGCCUUAGAGAUGGCCUAAUGAUAAGAGGAUCAUAUACAUGCUUCGGGCAUGUCAUGUACAGACUUCUUUCUACGUGGGGUGUUCUGUGAAGAUAACAUAGUACUGGCAGAGUGUGAAACUAUGAGCCGGUGAUCAGGUUAAUUUGAUUUGAUGCUGAUUAAGGGCUCUAUUUGUAUAUCUAUGAAAUCUUUUCUAUCCGCAUUGUCAAUUAACAGUCGAUAGUCUCUUCUGAUUGGUUAUGUCCGCUCAUAUCCUUUUUAUUCCUAGCAGUUGUGUUUCAGUUCAUACACUAACCAUUUUCCGUUUGCCUAUGCAUGAAUAUGAGGGUUUUCUUCUUUCAGCAUGCGCAGAUGAAGAGGCUGAUCUUAUCUUUUGACGACGAGUCUAGGAAUCGAACGUCACAGACAAUAAUGUAGAGUCUUUCUUAGUUUUGGUCUUAAUAUUAGACUUCCCUGGGCGUAUAUGUCAACAAGACGAAGAUGAUACAAGGGAAAAUUGUAAUUCUUGUUACAACUAUGGAGGAGGAUGUCUGCACCUGUAUAUUGUUGGGUGCUAAUAUGACGCAGAAUGCUUGUAUUGCUAAUUUUCUAUGGAUAGAAUAACAUUGUUUACGAUUGGUUUUACGGUGGAACUUUAUUUUAUUUUUUUCAUGGUAUUAGAGCAAAUUAUCCCACCUGAUGAUGGUGUGUCACUUAAGGCUGGUUUGGUAUUGCUGUGCUUUAAAAAAAAACUGCUGUGAGAAUAAGCGGCUGUGAAAUAAAUCACCAAAGUGUUUGGUAAACUUUUUUGUAAACGUGCUUUUGGAAAAAAAUACAAUCUGAUAGUGAGUCUUUUCAUUAAAGGAGCACUGUAGCUCCGUGUGCUUUGAAAAAAAACCAAUUUUCCAAAGCUGUAAAUAGCAGCUUCAGCAUUUUUCCUUUAAUUUCAGCUUAUUCUCACAGCAGCUUCCAAAAUAAGCUCUUUUUUUUCAGUUUACCAAACACCUAAAACCAUCACAGCUUUUUUUAUGAAUAGAAUAACAUUGUUUACGAUUGUAUUGCUAAUUUUCUAUGGAUAGAAUAACAUUGUUUACGAUUGGUUUUAUGGUGGAACUUUAUUUUAUUUUUUCCAUGAUAUCAGAACAAAUUGCCCCACCUGAUGAUGAUGUGUCACUUAGCCCCGCGUGUUGGGUGAUAUCCCUUUGGCUUCACACGACUGUCAAUGUGUGGAUUUCUCACGUGUGACCCACUAAUUAGGUCCCACAUGAGGUGGUGUUGAAGUAUCUCACAUGGGCAGGAUGGCAGAGAAAAUAAGAGUUUAAAUAUUUUAACCCUACUCCGACUACCACCAAGCCUUUUUGCAAAAAAAUCCACACUUGUAGAACUGUGCAGGUGAUAAUUAAUAAGUUAGAAACAACAUCGGUGUUAUUGGAAAUGAGCAUUUGGCCUGUCUCUUUGGUAAGUUUGACAAUAUUACAAUCUGAAAUUCACGUUCUAUGCAUAAAAACAUAGUUUCAAGUUUUUGACGAGCAAGAUAUACAUUAAAUUGCUCUAUGAAGCUCAGCCGUAAUACAUUAGGCAUCAUCGCCCAACAGGAUUAUCUGAUGAGCGAUUAACACUAGAGUGGCAGUAGGGUUGGUUUGACAUAUCUAUAUUGUUACACCCCCAUUUGCUCCCUCUAGUUCCAUGGACUAUGAGGGUGUCUCGUGCAACUGAAGCUAGCACAACACAUCUUCCAACAACUAUAGUAGUAUCAACACGUGACUGCCGCUAGCAUAACUCUUUAGAUUUCGUACUCUUGAACAAUUAUGACAACUUUACGCAUCUUCGAACAAUUAUGACUAGUCUAUAUGCGACUGCCGCUAGCACAACUCUAUAAAAAGCAUUGCAAUGCUUUCAUCCAGCAUUAAUAUUGUGACACCCCACACCUACCCAUCACACCCAACUUCAACCCAACCCUGCCCAACCACCUAGCCCAGCACCAAGAAUAAGUAAGCCACCCAGCGCAUUUUAGCAACCGCAAGUUCAAAAUGGCGCACCCGAUUGCGGAGGCGAACGAGGAAAGCCCCUACGGCGCGUUAACUCCGGAGGCCUUCUAUUCCCGCCACAACGUCUCCCACGCAUCCGAGUACACCACAAACCCCCGAGGCCUCAAGCUCUUCACCCAGUGGUGGACCCCACUGCCUCCGACUGAGAUCGUCGGGACCCUCGCCAUCGUCCACGGCUUCACCGGCGAGACCAGCUGGUUCGUCCAGCUCACCGCCGUCCACUUCGCCAAGUCCGGCUUCGCCGUCUGCGCCAUCGACCACCAGGGCCAUGGAUUCUCUGAUGGACUCAUCGCUCACAUCCCCGACAUCAACCUCGUAGUCGACGACUGCAUCUCUUUCUUCGACUCGUUUCGUGCCAACCACGCGCCGAAGAACCGCCCCUCGUUCCUCUACUCUGAGUCCCUCGGCGGCGCGAUCGCCCUUCUCGUCACGCUCCGGCAAGGAAGCGGCGCGUGGGACGGUCUCAUCCUCAACGGCGCCAUGUGCGGGAUCAGCCCCAAGUUCAAGCCGCCGUGGCCGCUCGAGCACCUGCUCUUCCUCGUGGCCGCGGUGAUCCCGACAUGGAGGGUGGUUCCCACGCGUGGGUCGCUCCCGGACGUGUCGUUCAAGGAGGAGUGGAAGCGGAAGCUGGCGCUGGCGAGUCCGAGGAGGACGGUGGCGAGGCCACGCGCUGCGACGGCGCUUGAGCUGCUGAGAGUGUGCAAGGAGCUGCAGGGGAAAUUCGAGGAGGUGGAGGUGCCGCUGUUGAUAGUCCAUGGGGGCGACGACGUCGUCUGCGACCCCGCAUGCGCGGAGGAGCUGUACAGGCGCGCGUCUAGCAAGGACAAAACGCUCAGGAUCCACGAGGGCUUGUGGCACCAGCUGGUUGGCGAGCCCCAGGAGAAAGUGGACUUGGUGUUCGGUGAAAUGGUGGAGUGGCUUCGUACUCGAGCUCAACGCGCCGCCGCCGCGAAUGGAGGUGGUGGUGCCUAGUGCAGAACUAUAGGGGUUAGGGCUAAUUUGGUUUGCUGUGUCUUGAAAAAAAAGGCUUGAUGUGAGAAUAAGCGGUUGUGCUAUGAAAAUAAGCGAUUGUGAAAUAAAUCAGCAAAGCAUUUGGUAAAUUUUUUUGUAAAAGUGCUUUUGGAAAAAAAACAGUUUGAUAGUGAGUUUUUUCAUUAAAUGAGCAUUGUAGCUCCGUGUGCUUUGAAAAAAAACUAGUUUUUCAAAGCUGCAAAUAGCAGCUUCAGCUUUUUCCUUUGAUUUUAGCUUAUUCUUACAGCAGCUUUCAAAAUAAAUUCUUUUUUUUUUAGUUUACCAACCUAAAACCUUCACAACUUUUUUCGAUAGAUGUAUAUUUUUUAAGCACCACAUUUCCAAAUCACCUCUUAAUUUUUAGUUUAACUAGAUUUGUAGGGAGGAAUCAGAAGCUGCCAAUGGAAGCAUGCCAUGUCACUUCAAGUUUAAAUAAAUAUAUUAUUAACUAAUUAAAAAUUUAGUGAAUUAUCUAACAGUUUGUCAAAAAAAAAAAGUUCAACCACCCCAAAUUCCCAAACCUUAUUUCGGUCCAAUUAAAAGGGAUCCAAAUAUGGGUUUUGGCUAUUAUUAGGUUAAGAUUUUAUGAGAGUAUAAAUUUGUAGUUCAUGUGGUUAUGAGCACGUGGCAUGUGAUGUGCAUGUAUCUGAGGUAUUGUGUUUGAAUCCUAUCUCCUCUAAUAUCCCUCGUAUCAAAUAAAGGAAAAAAGAUUAAGCCUGUAAGAAUAAAAUUGAAUUGAAUCGAUAAAAAUGAUACCUUUGAAAAAUCACCCACGUUUCUUGGACAAGAUGAGAAAAUUGAGAUCGUUUUUCUGCUAAUAAUUUACCAUAUUUUUUGUUUCCACCAUAGAAGAUGAGUUUUUCUGCAUUUACUCCUUUUUUUAUCUGUUGGUUUUUAGUAAAAUAAAGAUUAAGGACGAUGGAUUCGACCAUGAUGUGGAUUGUGCACCAAGCAAUGAACAAUGCACACGAAAAAAAUGCAGUUGAAAGAAGGCGUUCUCCAGCGCUUGAAUGGGAUCUGCAGAUUUUAUGAAUUGGCUGUAAUGCAGCUAGAAGGGUGUUUGAAGUUUGUUCGACAAGAAACAGACGGAGUUUAAUUUCUUUUAAGAUGGAGAGUGUCAUUACCAAGAGCCUUCUUAUUGCCAACCUAAACCACAUGAAGAGGUUCAAUUAAACUCAUCUGUUUCUUUAUCUCCACCUGCCCUCAGAUUUUCACAAAUCACAAGCAUUGGCUGAUUUUGAACACAGAACGAGCGAUAAGUUGGAAAUGAACUUUUUGAGGUAUUGUUCUAUCUACAACUCAUUCCUCACUACAGCUUUAAUUUACUUCUAGUAGGCUUCUGGUAGACUAACCGGAUUGCAAUCCUACUUCUUUACAGAUUGGACAAGAUGAAGGAUAGUUUAGAUACACUCGUCAAACUUGUAUCCUCCUUGAGAAAAAAAGAAAUCAAUUCAUCGGGACACUUUUACUAGGAGAUGUCAUGAUCUCUGGAAGGCUGAAACUGGGGUUCUCGGCUGCAGUAAAUUAAUAUUUUCGGUUUUGAUUUGUUCAUGAUUAAAUCAUUUCAAGUUUAAUAUUGGUUGAUGUGUGUCAUAAAUAGGUUGAUCUUCUUGGUGAUCAAGUGGAUGACAUUAUGUGAUCACUCACCAGUUCUGCGGCACUAUUCCGAGGUGAGCAAUGUUUUCGUUUCCCCAUUUCUUGCGUCGCAAGGUUCUGUUUUUACCGAUGCUUAAGUAAUCCUUUCCAUAAUACACAAGCUUCUGUUUUACAUUGGAAAUGUGAAUUGUUUAUCGCCGCUCGAUUUUCCUGCAGGUCGCUGACGUCUUACGAUUGAUCAAGGCGGAACUAACCGGAGUUGUGAAUGCGUCGAAAAUUUGACAUGUCCAUAGAAGAAAAAGAUAAAACAAACAGAAACACAGGGCUGCAGGAAAAGACAGUAAGAAACCAACAAGGAAAACAAAAUAAAAAUACAACAUUUCUCAAUUGGUUGGCGAACUAUACUAUGUUUUGAGAAGAUCAAACAGCAAGACAAAACCCAAGCUGGCGAUUAGCUCUCAUCCUUGGUUUUACCUUGAUAAGUUCGUACCAGGUUAUUUCGCCGUCUGCUUCUUGUCUUUUUUUCUGGCUCUGUGAAGGUUAAACAGUUAUAGUUUGUGGAUAUAUGAACCUGCAUUUCAAGUUCUUGAUUGUUUUCUGUACAUCAUCGAAAACUCGAAAGCUCUCUCAUGGCCAAACUGCUUCAUUUAUGCUCCUAUUGUGUCCUAGUUUUGCUUCUCUAUGUUAAGUUUGUGACUUCCUUCAACCAGUUUGGAUUGGGCGCACCACGGCCUGCGCCCACUGGAGGGCUAACGACAUCGCCAUCAUCAUCACCAUCACCAUCAGCACCACCAUCAGCUCCGACACCAUCACCAUCACCACCAUCACCAGCUCUGACACCAUCACAGCCACCAUCAGCUCCGACACCAUCACCAUCAGCUCCAACACCAUCACCAUCACCACCACCACCAUCUCCGACACCAUCACAGCCACCAUCAGCUCCGACACCAUCACCAUCACCACCACCACCAGCUCCGACACCAUCACAGCCAUCAUCAACACCGUCUCUGCCACCAUCACCAGAAUCUGAACCACGUCCACCACCUACAAAUAGCAAAGGGUCUUCAGGAGGACUGAGUGGUGGACAGAAGGCAGGGGUGGUGUUUGGAGUGCUGAUCGGGGUAGGACUGAUCGGGUUUGGUGGCUUCGUGUACAAGAAACGCCGCGCUAACAUUAGACGGAGCCGCUAUGGAGCUGCAGCCAGGAGAAGCUUUCUUUGAUUUAGAAAAAAUUAGAGUGUGAGAUAGGAGACCAACAUCAACGUAUACUUGUUAAUUCAAAUUUUGAUUUGAUUGUUCUUCCUAAAUAUCGAAAAACUUGCAUUUGCAACAAAAUUUGAAAAUGUCGUACGACUUGUUCAUGUCAUAAUCUUAGUUAUGGACGUGUUGCAAUUUGUAAUUUACAAAGAAAAAAAGGUUUGAAACAAUGUAUCACUUGUAGUCUAAUUCCGUCUACUUUCUCAUCUAAAAACUUUGUACGUGAUUUGCACACGACUCACUCUUUUCAAGAGUAUUUUAACGUUUGAAACAUCGAUACAACUUUGUCAGAUUAGUGCUUUUCAAGUGGUUUUUUCGCCUAAAAUCCAAGUGGUGCAAAAUGGUUCCCUAGCAAUGCACCACGUGAUAGCUUGCAUUACAAAAACAUGUGAGACCGGUUCUCAUAUGGCAACUUAAUAAGUGUCUUUGACGUAGAAAUCUCUCCUUCAUGCAUUUGAUAUUGUAUUUCUAAUUCCUCCUAUCAAUCUAACUUGUUGUCAUCCGUUUCUUCCUCAUUUGGCCUAAAUUCCUUUAAAUUUGCAAGUUCCUUAAUUUGGUGUCAUUCUUCAAUAUCAAUUCAGUAGUGGUGUUUUUCUUAAAGUGUGUGGUUUGACGUGUUUUUCUCUAAAUUUAUUUGGUGUCAUUCAUCUUCACUUGAAAGUGAGAAGUCUUAGCCCAUUGUGUAGCUGAGCCGAGCUCCCUCUCCCUCUAAUGUAAAAAUAUUGAUGUACUAAAAAAAAAAAAAAUAGUCUACUCUUAUCGAAAUUAGUUUGAAUAUAUAUAUGAAUAGCCCAAGAGUAAGAGUUUGACCCAACGAGAAAAACAACCUUAGACGAGCCAACCAUAAACGAAAUAUCCAUAACCGUCAAGUAUUUGGGCCCAUUGGACAUGACAGCCCAACUCAUCAAGAAUGUCUUAGGCAUAUAUAAUGUGUUCCGAAAGUGAAACAUAAUUUAGGGUUCAGAAGAUAUAACAGAUACUAAUAGCCGUCAAUUACUUCAAAUUAGGCGAUUAUUAUCUGUUGAUGUAUCUGCCCGACUCGUAAAAUAAUCAUAAUUUGUUUCAUGUUUUGAUUAUUAGUUGUAAAUGUAAGGAAACGAUUACCAAUAACUAUUGUUUGCUUUAGUUGAUGAUUAUCGACUAUUGAGCAAUGUGAAUGACCGAUAAUGACGUUAAUUCCCUUCAACAUUGUCGAUCAUCUACCCAUGUUGCUCAUAGGGGCUUGAAAUUGGAUGUAUUAUCUUCAUGAAAGACAUGAUGGUAGUAGAUUACAAGCACUAAGCAAAAGCAUUAAGGAAAAGUGGAACACUAAAACGAUGUGUUGUGAGUAUUAGUGGAACACCAACACUAAAACUGUCCUUCCCUUACUUAUAUUAAACAAAUCACAAAUAUUUAUGUCGAUAAUACAUAAGGGAACUGCCUAAUCAACAACCAAAUAAUUAAUUAAAUUAUUUAAUUAGAUAAAAAUUGUCAACUCUUGGAGGAGACAUAAAGGAAGGAACUAUGCCUAACUAAGCUAAUCAAUCUCUAAUUCAGGCUUUUGGGGCAAAAAUUCCAUAAGCAAAUUACUGUUUUCAAAGACUUUUUCCCCCUUUUCACAUUUUUCUGCUUUGAAUUUGAUUGGCCCUCCUUCCACAAUCAGCACCUUUUGAGGUUUACAAGCAAUGACUGUUUUUUGAACCAUAAGUAAAUAUUAUUUUUUGUCCACGAGGUUAAAUCUUCCGCACUCAUUUCAUAUGUGGUCUUUCUGUGGCUUUACUAAUCGAUUGAUAUAUGUUAAGUUUAUGACAACAAAGUUAAUGAGAAAUUUUUUAGUGUAACCGAAAUAUGGGAUAGUAUGCGGUAUGCCACAUGGUAUUAUAUAAUUGGAGGGAAGUCUUUUUUUUUUUUUUUUUUAAAGUGUCCCUUCAAUUGUAUACGGAUAUAUGGGGGUGUACCAAUCCGUAUUACCAUCACGCUGAAAAAUCACAUAAAGGUAAGGGUGCGGAUUUCGACUCCCCAAUAAACACAAAAAUGUGAGAGGUCCCGGGUUUGAUGCUCCGAGCUAGUGAGUCUGUUUGACUGUGGUUACGGGUAUGAUGAAAUUCCCUAUAGCCUCUGCGGAUCUGAAAAUAGGGAUAAUUGUGACUUAUCACUAGUCGUCCCCCUAUUCACAAAAAAAAAAAAAAAAAAAAAAUGCCGCACACAAAAUAAGUGCAAAAGAUUAAACCCUUUGUUCGUGUUGACUUAAAAAAGUCAAUAAUUUAUUCAAGUUGACAAAACCUUCUUGUAGUUUUAUGAAAAAAGGCAGAAUAAAUAAAACUCGGCUUUCUGCGUUCACGUGUGCUUUGUAUUUGAAAAUAUUACACUAAACAUGUUUCGAUUAAUUUCAUCCAUUU
This 20364-nucleotide long non-coding RNA is filed under the name Malus domestica (apple). RNAcentral describes it as "long non-coding RNA (MDOM_LNC000991)". The record is from RNAcentral. Lineage: Eukaryota; Viridiplantae; Streptophyta; Magnoliopsida; Rosales; Rosaceae.